CCUACGGGUGGCAGCAGUGGGGAAUAUUGGGCAAUGGAGGCAACUCUGACCCAGCAACGCCGCGUGAAUGAUGAAGGUCUUCGGAUUGUAAAGUUCUGUGAUGGGGGAUGAACAUAACGACGGUACCCCAAUAGCAAGCCACGGCUAACUCCGUGGCAGCAGCCGCGGUAAUACGUAGGUGGCAAGCGUUCUACGGAAUGACUGGGCGUAAAGGGGGCGUAGGUGGUUUAGGAAGUUGGCGGUGUAAUUCCGGGGCUCAACCACGGUGCUAUAGCCAAAAUUAUUAGACGAGAGUGCAGGAGGGGUAGGUGGAAUUCCUGGUGUAGCGGUAGAAUGCGUAGAGAUUAAGAGGAACAUCAGGGGCGAAGGCGACUUACUGGACUGUAACUGACACUGAUGCGCGAAAGCGUGGGGAGCAAACAGGAUUAGAUACCCCUGUAGUC
This 443-nucleotide ribosomal RNA is filed under the name uncultured bacterium. Its description in RNAcentral is "partial 16S ribosomal RNA". It matches the Rfam family "Bacterial small subunit ribosomal RNA", at positions 338 to 795 of the family's 1533-position model. The record is from RNAcentral.